This 230-nucleotide ribosomal RNA is filed under the name uncultured bacterium. RNAcentral's name for it is "partial 16S ribosomal RNA". It matches the Rfam family "Bacterial small subunit ribosomal RNA", at positions 15 to 236 of the family's 1533-position model. The record is from RNAcentral.
GAUCAUGGCUCAGGAUGAACGCUAGCUACAGGCUUAACACAUGCAAGUCGAGGGGCAGCAUGGUCUUAGCUUGCUAAGGCCGAUGGCGACCGGCGCACGGGUGAGUAACGCGUAUCCAACCUGCCCACCACUUGGGGAUAACCUUGCGAAAGUAAGACUAAUACCCAAUGAUAUCUCUAGAAGACAUCUGAAAGAGAUUAAAGAUUUAUCGGUGAUGGAUGGGGAUGCGU